This 658-nucleotide long non-coding RNA is filed under the name Brassica napus (rape). Its description in RNAcentral is "long non-coding RNA (BNAP_LNC025077)". Lineage: Eukaryota; Viridiplantae; Streptophyta; Magnoliopsida; Brassicales; Brassicaceae. The record is from RNAcentral.
AAGAGGUUCGAAAUCCAUGAUCUUUUAAAGUGGUUUACUCUCGAAACGAGUAGCCUUGACAUUGCACAUAAUAUAUCUAAGAAAGGGACCAACUCAUGCAUACAAUGCUCAAUCUCCAUUGUUCUACCCUUUUCCCAAAUAUACAAGUUACACAAUCACUUCAUAAUGUCGAACCCAACUCCCAUCUCUCACCAAAAGACCUCAAGAACACUUUGCACAUAAAACUCUUUUUCUUUGAAAUCUAUAAAGGAUUUUCUUAACUUCUAAACAAAUCUUAGCUCUAAACGACUUUGCUAGCCCCCUUUUCUUUUUUUUUUCUUUUUUUUAUUCUUUUCUUCUUUCUUUUUCUUUUUUUUUCUAUUUUUUCUUUUUUUAUUUUGUUUUUGUUUGGGGGCCAAGACUUUUCACAAAUCGAGCUAGAAGUUUCUCUACUUAUCCCAUAAAGACUAGUCAAUUAAACACAAGAGUUCACUCUUUUCCUUCAACUUUCUCAUACUCCCAAAUCAAACUUCACAACACUCACCCCCAUCCUAUGGCUAGACAAUAAUGUGCCUAAUCUAGCAAGAAUGAAGAUCAAGCAUUGUCGUUCCCGAUACUCUCAACAUUAUGUGCAUGUAAGACUUUCCGAAAAAGGCCUCACUCAUCAAUCAAUGAAGGC